UACCAAGGGGGUAAGCGUUAUUCGAAAUGAUUGGGCGUAAAGGGUUCGUAGAUGGAUAGAUAAUCUUGUGUGAAAGUUUAAUUAAAAAUUAUGAGAGCUUAAUAAAUUAAUUUUCUUGAGUGAAUAGUAGGAUAACAGAAUUCUAUAAGGAAAAGUAAAAUUUUUUGAUAUAUAGAGGAAUGCCAGUGGUGAAAGCGGUUAUCUAGGAUAUCACUGACGUUGAUGAAGGAAAGUGUAGGGAGCAAACAGGAUUAGAGACCCUGGUGGUCUACCCUGUCAAAUAUGAAUGCUAAUAUUUGGUAAAAUAUAUCAUAUAUAAAGUUAACACGUUAAGCAUUCCGCCUGGGAAGUUCGAUCGCAAGAUUGGACCUCAAAGGAAUUGACGGUUGAUCUACACAAGUGGUGGAGCAUGUGGUGUAAUGCGAUAAUACACGCGAAAUCUUACCAGUUCUUGAAUAUAAUUAAAAGUCUUUUAAUAAAAGAUAUUUAUUAAAUUUCAAUAAUCUUAAAAUGCAAUUAUACAGGUGUUGCAUGGCUGUCGUCAGCUCGUGACGUGAGGUGUUUGGUUCAGUCCUUUUAACGAGCGCAACUCUUAUUUUAUGUUAAUAACAUAUUUGUGUCUUCUAAAUUUGUAACUCAUAAAAAAUGAUUAAUGAUAAAUUAGUGGAAGGGGAGAGGGACGUCAAGCCUUUACGGGCCUUAUGAACUGGGGUACUCCCGUUCUUCCAAGGUAAUUUCAAAAAGUUAUACGAAAAAGGUAAUGGAGAGUAUAUCUUUAAAAAUUUCCGUGUUCGGAUUGUAAAUUGCAAUUCGUGACCUGAAGGUGGAAUCACAUGUAAUCGUAAAUCAUCAUGUUACGGGGAAUUUAGUACUUAGAUCU
This 880-nucleotide ribosomal RNA is filed under the name uncultured bacterium. RNAcentral describes it as "bacterial SSU rRNA". It matches the Rfam family "Bacterial small subunit ribosomal RNA", at positions 524 to 1381 of the family's 1533-position model. The record is from RNAcentral.